CUUUAUGGCGGGCCGUGCGGGGCAGGCUACGGCCUGGCCGGUUUUCCUUCGUGUGCCGGUUUGCGACCCCCGUACGGUCUGCCACCCCA
RNAcentral lists this non-coding RNA (89 nucleotides) under Pseudomonas cedrina. The record is from RNAcentral. Lineage: Bacteria; Pseudomonadati; Pseudomonadota; Gammaproteobacteria; Pseudomonadales; Pseudomonadaceae.